RNAcentral lists this long non-coding RNA (339 nucleotides) under Triticum aestivum (bread wheat). RNAcentral's name for it is "long non-coding RNA (TAES_LNC027761)". Lineage: Eukaryota; Viridiplantae; Streptophyta; Magnoliopsida; Poales; Poaceae. The record is from RNAcentral.
UGGAUGUUUUAGAAUGGUGCAGACAGGUUGAGCAGCAGUAGAUGUUUUUUAAGUCCUAGGUGAGCACUCUAGGUUCUGUGAAUUUUCCCUUCACAGUACUGCAGUAUUUUCAUACUUCAAGGAAAUAGAAAUAAUAUGGUUUCUCUCUCCCAGAUUGUUACUACCGAGAAUGGAACUCGAGAAGAGGUACUUUUGGUGUUGUCCUAUUACCUCCCGUAUCUAAUAGAUGACACAAAGUUAUCAGUUUAGUUGGCAAGAGAAAAAGUCCACAUCAAUUGUGAGGAUAUGAUGAUUGGCAUACCUACCCCCUGUGUAUGCCUCACUUCUUCAGAAUUUGAG